Molecule: ribosomal RNA, 1383 nt
Filed under: Staphylococcus canis
Lineage: Bacteria; Bacillati; Bacillota; Bacilli; Caryophanales; Staphylococcaceae
Description: partial 23S ribosomal RNA
Rfam family: Bacterial large subunit ribosomal RNA
Source: RNAcentral
CGUGAAUUCAUAGCGUAUGAGAAGGUAGACCCGGAGAACUGAAACAUCUUAGUACCCGGAGGAAGAGAAAGAAAAUUCGAUUCCCUGAGUAGCGGCGAGCGAAACGGGAAGAGCCCAAACCAACAAGCUUGCUUGUUGGGGUUGUAGGACACUCUUUUAGAGUUACAAAAGAAUGAGUUAGACGAAUAACCUGGAAAGGUUAAUCAAAGAAGGUAAUAAUCCUGUAGUCGAAAACUGAUUCUCUCUUGAGUGGAUCCUGAGUACGACGGAGCACGUGAAAUUCCGUCGGAAUCUAGGAGGACCAUCUCCUAAGGCUAAAUACUCUCUAGUGACCGAUAGUGAACCAGUACCGUGAGGGAAAGGUGAAAAGUACCCCGGAAGGGGAGUGAAAGAGAACUUGAAACCGUGUGCUUACAAGUAGUCAGAGCCCGUUAAUGGGUGAUGGCGUGCCUUUUGUAGAAUGAACCGGCGAGUUACGAUCUGAUGCAAGGUUAAGCAGGAAAUGUGGAGCCGUAGCGAAAGCGAGUCUGAAUAGGGCGAAUGAGUAUUUGGUCGUAGACCCGAAACCAGGUGAUCUACCCUUGGUCAGGUUGAAGUUCAGGUAACACUGAAUGGAGGACCGAACCGACUUACGUUGAAAAGUGAGCGGAUGAACUGAGGGUAGCGGAGAAAUUCCAAUCGAACUUGGAGAUAGCUGGUUCUCUCCGAAAUAGCUUUAGGGCUAGCCUCAAGUGAUGAUUAUUGGAGGUAGAGCACUGUUUGGACGAGGGGCCCCUCUCGGGUUACCGAAUUCAGACAAACUCCGAAUGCCAAAUAAUUUAACUUGGGAGUCAGAACGUGGGUGAUAAGGUCCAUGUUCGAAAGGGAAACAGCCCAGACCACCAGCUAAGGUCCCAAAAUAUAUGUUAAGUGGAAAAGGAUGUGGCGUUGCCCAGACAACUAGGAUGUUGGCUUAGAAGCAGCCAUCAUUUAAAGAGUGCGUAAUAGCUCACUAGUCGAGUGACACUGCGCCGAAAAUGUACCGGGGCUAAACAUAUUACCGAAGCUGUGGAUUGUCCUUUGGACAAUGGUAGGAGAGCGUUCUAAGGGCGUUGAAGCAUGAUCGCAAGGACAUGUGGAGCGCUUAGAAGUGAGAAUGCCGGUGUGAGUAGCGAAAGACGGGUGAGAAUCCCGUCCACCGAUUGACUAAGGUUUCCAGAGGAAGGCUCGUCCGCUCUGGGUUAGUCGGGUCCUAAGCCGAGGCCGACAGGCGUAGGCGAUGGAUAACAGGUUGAUAUUCCUGUACCACCUAUAAUCGUUUUAAGCGAUGGGGGGACGCAGUAGGAUAGGCGAAGCGUGCUGUUGGAGUGCACGUCCAAGCAGUGAGACUGAGUGUUAGGCAAA